RNAcentral lists this ribosomal RNA (1452 nucleotides) under Triticum aestivum (bread wheat). RNAcentral's name for it is "partial small subunit ribosomal RNA". Lineage: Eukaryota; Viridiplantae; Streptophyta; Magnoliopsida; Poales; Poaceae. The record is from RNAcentral.
AUGCUCGCAGAUCGAUAUUUUCUAAUGCCCCGCGCUAAACUUUUUCUUGGUUUGUUGUUGCCAAGGGACGGGAGUGGUACCGGCAAUGGAGACGACAGCGGCUGGUCGAUGCGGCCGAUGGAUGCGGAGCAGCUUCGGGAGUGCGGGCACCGGAUGGUGGAUUUCAUCGCCGACUACUACAAAUCCAUCGAGACAUUUUCCGUCCUCAGUCAAGUCCAGCCAGGAUAUCUAAAUGAACUUCUUCCAGAUUCAGCUCCAAACCGACCUGACACUUUGGAUGCCCUUUUUGAUGAUAUACGAGAGAAGAUAGUACCGGGAGUAACUCACUGGCAAAGUCCAAAUUAUUUUGCUUACUAUCCCUCAAAUAGUAGCACUGCUGGAUUCCUGGGGGAGAUGCUUAUUGCUGCCUUUAACAUUGUUGGCUUCAGUUGGAUAACCUCUCCUGCUGCAACCGAGUUAGAGGUUAUAGUCUUAGACUGGUUUGCAAAAAUGCUUAAGCUUCCAAGCAAGUUUCUAUCAUCUGCGGUUGGUGGAGGAGUAAUCCAGGGUAGUGCCAGUGAAGCUGUCCUUGUUGUACUAUUGGCUGCACGAGAUAGAACCUUAGAAAUGCAUGGGAAAAAGUCCCUUGAAAAAUUGGUAGUUUAUGCAUCUGAUCAGACACAUUCUGCUCUGCAAAAGGCAUGCCAGAUUGCAGGGAUUUUCCCAGAGAACUUCAGAGUUGUGAAGGCUGACUACAGUAAUAGUUACGCUGUUGCACCUGAAGCAGUAGGCACAACAUCUUCAUCGGCCGUGGACCCCUUGCAUAAAUUAGGAAAGAUAGCACAGGCCCAUGACAUGUGGUUCCACAUUGAUGCUGCAUAUGCUGGAAGUGCUUCUGAUUCAUUCAAUAUGAAUGCACACAAAUGGUUUCUCACAAACUUCGACUGUUCCUUGUUAUGGGUUAAGGACAAGAGCUAUCUCAUAGAAGCAUUAUCUACAAAUCCAGAGUAUCUUAAGAAUAAGGCUUCCCAAGAAAAUUCCGUUGUUGAUUUCAAGGAUUGGCAAAUUCCACUUGGCCGUCGUUUUAGAUCACUCAAGCUAUGGAUGGUAUUGAGGCUUUAUGGCGUGGAAAACCUGCAGAGCUAUAUCAGAAAGCACAUACAGUUGGCUAAACAGUUUGAACAACUUGUAUUAUCUGAUUCAAGAUUUGAGGUAGUAACUCCAAGGAACUUUUCCCUUGUGUGUUUCCGCCUUCUGCCCCCAACUUCGGAGGAUGACAAUGGCCGUAACCUUAACUACAGCCUAAUGGAUGCCUGUAACUCGAGUGGAAAGAUCUUUAUAUCACAUACGGUUCUUUCCGGAAAAUUUGUCUUGAGAUUUGCCGUUGGAGCACCACUGACCGAGGAGAAACAUGUGGAUGCUGCUUGGAAGCUUUUGCAAGAUGAGGCCAGCAAGAUCUUAGGAAGUUCGUAG